This is an RNA transcript of Nymphaea colorata (pocket water lily), 1768 nucleotides long. It is a transcript of the gene named probable prolyl 4-hydroxylase 4, with no coding region annotated. The record is from RefSeq and is a predicted model, not a curated record. NCBI's taxonomy places the organism in Eukaryota, Viridiplantae, Streptophyta, Magnoliopsida, Nymphaeales, Nymphaeaceae. The transcript is spliced from 9 exons.
AAUAAUUACAUGCGAAAAAACACAGAGGCCUUUGUCGGCUGUCCCUCAAAAGGUAAUGUCAAGAGCCUCACUCUCAGGCUUUGAGGUUCGGUGUCUGCAGCGGCAGGCAGCGAUCUCUCUUUCUCUCUCGCGCGCGCUAAUCGGCUCUGUUCCAAUUUCCAGAAAAUAUCUCUCGAGACACUGAUUGGCCGUGCAGCUUCCGGAAAAAAUACAGAGGGAAAAUGUCGGCACCUCUUCAAGAGUGAUCACCGAUCAGCUGCCAAUAAGGGAUUAAAUUCGUAUCAGAGAUCCUAAAAACAUAAGGCGCUUUAUUUAGUUAUUGGUAGAGCCAGGACCUUCAAAACGCACGAGAACAAUAUCGACCAGAAGGUGCCUUCUUCAUAACCGUAGCGCAAGCGAAGCGAUCGUCUGUGAGCGCGUGUGCGUGCCUAGUCUCUCGCUUCCUUUUCUUAUCUGAUUUUGCUUUGGGUAGUUGCUGGUUUCGAUUGGACUUACAUGGGCCGGAUGAAGCCUCCUCUGCGCACUUCUCACCUCCUUCUGGUGGUGCUUGCCCCAAUUCUCUCCUCCGUUGUUCUUGGGAGUUUCCUUGUCGACCAUGAAGAUCAGGGCAGUGCCUCCUUCCCUGCCUCCGUCGUUCUCCCGGGAAGGGUGAGGCAGAUCUCCUGGAAGCCCAGGGCGUUCGUCUAUUCUGGUUUCCUCACGGAUGAGGAAUGCGAUCACCUGAUCUCUCUCGCCACAUCCGAGCUCAAACGAUCGGCUGUUGCUGAUAAUGUUUCGGGAGAAAGCAAACUGAGCGAUGUUAGGACGAGUUCAGGGAUGUUCAUCAGCAAGGGAAAGGAUCCAAUUAUAAUGGGGAUCGAAGACAAGAUUGCGGCAUGGUCUUUUCUCCCAAAAGAAAAUGGUGAAGAUAUUCAGGUACUAAGGUAUGAACAUGGUCAAAAGUACGAUCCUCACUAUGAUUAUUUCUCCGACAAACUUAACAUUGCUCGUGGUGGGCACCGUAUUGCGACAGUCCUCAUGUAUCUGACAGAUGUAGAGAGAGGUGGCGAAACAGUUUUCCCAUCAGCGGAGGUCAAUGACCGCCGGAGAGGUCGUAUUGUGGAUGAUAACUUGUCCGAUUGCGCUAAGAAGGGAAUAGCAGUGAAACCGAAAAAGGGGGACGCUCUGCUGUUCUUCAGUCUUCAUCCCAAUGCAGUUCCGGAUGAGAGAAGCCUGCAUGCGGGGUGCCCGGUGAUGGAAGGGGAGAAAUGGUCGGCGACUAAAUGGAUACACGUAGCGUCGUUUGAAAAGAGUGUGGAUGGCUCGUCUGGCUGUGUGGAUGAGAAUGAGUACUGUGAAAGAUGGGCAGCCCUGGGGGAGUGCAGGAACAACCCAGAUUACAUGGUUGGAUCAGCCGACGCUCCUGGUGCCUGUCGUCGAAGUUGUGAAGUCUGCUAGCACCCAAGCUAUUUGCUGGGAAACGCUGCCACCACCACCCGAGGGCCUAUUUGCGUCCUUGUUUUUCUGCUGUUUAACAUGUGGGGGAAGAUUUGUUAUAUAUAAUGCUCCAUCUGCAGCAAGGUUCACUAUUCGGCCAUGAGAGAGAGAGAGAGAAGUGCCUUUUGCCUAAUCGCAGCCUCAUGGAAAAGAUGAGAUGCAAGCGGCAAGCAACGGUACGUGGAGUCGGCAAAAGAAUCUGUGUACGCACCAUUGGAAUCCCUUCUUUUUCCUUUUUCGAAUUUGGGAACGCCUCUUGAAAAUCAAUUCGAUUUGGCACCUUUUUCUUUUC